Molecule: long non-coding RNA, 642 nt
Organism: Malurus melanocephalus (red-backed fairy wren)
Lineage: Eukaryota; Metazoa; Chordata; Aves; Passeriformes; Maluridae
Source: RefSeq, a predicted model, not a curated record
GAAACAAGUGACUUUCCAUCCAGUGUGUCGAAAUCCAAACCCCSCUGCAUGUCUGACAGCACAGUGAAAGGUAAGGGGAUACCCACAGGAUGCAGACAUAGGACUGUAGGCCAGGAAAGAGCUGGGGCUGCUUUGUUGUUGGAGAGAUGGCCUGGGAAAAGGAGCUCAGCAGCUUUUAUUUCGCGCACCCGGGCUUUCACCGUCGCGGCGUCGAGCAGAAAGAUGAGUCUGCCCGUGAUGUUUACCCACCUUGGGCCCGUGUUUGCCUAAUAUAUAUGAAAGGGAUCCUGUUAUCAUCUGGCGGGCAUUCCGGAGGAAACACUUUGGGAGCCGCAGCCAGGCAGGGAGCGGGGGAUGCUGCCUCCCUCCUUCCCUCUGUCGCUCCGUCCCCCCGCGCAGCGCGGCCGGGCUCUGCCGUCCCUCCAGCACCAUCUAGCGGGAUAYCCGGGCUGCCGGGGCUGCCGAGCAGGGGAACGCUCCGGUGCUCUCACCAGCGAGCCUGCUACGUCUCGCCUUGCGCUUGUAAUUUUCCCAGGCUGGGUUGGUACCUGAUGCUCUUGCCAUGGGCACCGCUGGACACCGGGGCUCACCGGUGCUCCCGCUCGGCUUUUGCCGCUGYUCUGCCCGAGCUGGGAAAACCGC